RNAcentral lists this ribosomal RNA (465 nucleotides) under uncultured bacterium. RNAcentral's name for it is "partial 16S ribosomal RNA". It matches the Rfam family "Bacterial small subunit ribosomal RNA", at positions 28 to 507 of the family's 1533-position model. The record is from RNAcentral.
GACGAACGCUGGCGGCAUGCCUAACACAUGCAAGUCGAACGGAAACGUCGGGCCUGGUGGGUCCCGGAGUCGUGAACGGUUGAGUACUACGCUGGGGAUCUGCCUUACACCUCGGGAUAAGUGCGGGUAACGGGGUCUAAUAUCGGAUAGGAGCCAUCUCGACUUUGGUUGUGGGAGAGUUGUUUUGGUGUAGGAUUAGGUCGCGGCCUAUCAGCUUGUUGGUGCGGUAAUGGUCUACCAAGGCGGCGACGCGAAGCCGGCCUGGGAGGGUGGACGGGAACAUUGGGACUGGGAUACGGCCCAGACUCCGACGGGAGGCAGAAGUGGCGAAUAUUGAAAAAUGGGCGCAGGCCUGAUGCAGCGACGCCGCGUGGGGGAUGAAGGCCUUCGGGUUGUAAUCUCAUUUCGCUAGGGACGAAGCUUUGUGUGACGGUACCUAGAUAAGAAGCACCGGCUAACUACGUG